This is an RNA transcript of Sapajus apella (tufted capuchin), 2414 nucleotides long. It is a transcript of the gene named vesicle associated membrane protein 3, with no coding region annotated. The record is from RefSeq and is a predicted model, not a curated record. The transcript is spliced from 5 exons. NCBI's taxonomy places the organism in Eukaryota, Metazoa, Chordata, Mammalia, Primates, Cebidae.
CCCGGAGGAAGUUAGCUGCCCGCCGCUCCCCGCUCCUCGCCCCUUCCCCUUCUAGCCCCCGAGGUCCGUGAGAGGAACCGGGACAACUGGUGUGGUUCGGGACCGCCCGCGCUCAGCCCGGUGCUGCGCUGGGACCCAGAAGUUGCGAAGGAAAGGACCUCGGGCUUGUCCUGAGCCCCUAUGGCCCGAGGUGCUCCUGGCCUAGCUAGGGGCAUCUACACUGGGAAGAUGACUUUACCGUGGGCCUUCGCUCUCAAGCGAAAGCGCUCUUGUGGCCCUUGUAAACCGGUGCAUCCAACGGUCUACAGGUCCAGCUGCUGCCACUGGCAGUAAUCGAAGACUUCAGCAGACGCAAAAUCAAGUAGAUGAGGUGGUGGACAUAAUGCGAGUUAACGUGGACAAGGUUCUGGAAAGAGACCAGAAGCUCUCCGAGUUAGACGACCGUGCAGACGCACUGCAGGCAGGUGCUUCUCAAUUUGAAACAAGCGCAGCCAAGUUGAAGAGAAAAUACUGGUGGAAGAAUUGCAAGAUGUGGGCAAUAGGGAUUACUGUUCUGGUUAUCUUCAUCGUCAUCAUCAUCGUGUGGGUUGUCUCUUCAUGAAGAAGCAGUGGAACUCUAACCUGCUGUUCAAGAAACCUCUUCAAGACUUUUGACUUAGAACCUACUAUAUUAUCAAGCUUACCUACUGCUAUCUCUAAAGUGAUUAUUUUGUGUUAAUGUAAAGUUGAAUUUUUAGGAAAUGUGCCUUUGUUUUUUUUAAUACUAUGCACUCCAAAUUAGAAGUAAGGCCGGCCCCGUCCACGUUUUGCACAGUGUCUUUACCGAUUUACAUAUGGGCUGAUGAAGAGGCCUUCUGAAGUUCCAGAGUGCUAUCAUCUAGAUGUAAUGUUGUCACCGAUUAAUUGCCAUUGCUCCCAGUUACUUAGCCUUGUCAUUCAGCAUUAUUUUUAGAACUACAUUUUAAACCUUUGGGUAAUCGAUUUCCAACUUGUGCCUUCCAGAAAAAAACACUACUGCCUACCACAAAUCUGUGAUAACAACAGUCUGUGCCUUAUUUUGAUAAGUUUCUGAUUCCCUGUAAGAGAACCCUCUACUUUUUGUAAGCACUACUGACUCUCGCUGUAUUUAAGAUAAGAUGCUGGUGAAGAGCUUUUGCUCUUGCAUUAGAUUUGAAGAUGUUUACGUUCUUGUUACUGUUAUGUAUCACUUGCUAAAAAUAUUGUUUUAAUCAGAAAUAACCUCUUUAAAAAUUUUUAUAGAACUAUGGCUAUGACCAAAGUUUCUAUUUUACCAAAAAGUUAAAUACCGAUAAAAUGGCCUUAAAAGUCUGUUCCUGACAGUUUAAUUAAGAAAUGUGCCAAAUGGAACUUAAGGUGCCCCUUCAGAAUUAAAAUCGUAACCUUGUGUGUGAACCUUCCACAUCUUGACAGGGUUUUCUUCCUUUUGAAAUGCUGUAGACAGUGUGGCUCCCCUUCUGAUUCAGUAUUUUGCAGGGGGGGUUAGAGAAGGCUUGAGGUAGACUCUGACCAUCUCAUUCCUAUAGACAAAAGAGUUUAACCCAGCAGUUGGCAGAUUAUCAGCUGUGGACUCCAACAUGUUUCUAAUAAUUAUACGACCAACAAUUCUGUAGCCUUCAAGUAAGACCACCUGUGAACUUGAUCAUUACCUGGCCCAGAUAGGACGAUAAACUGUAGCUUUUUGGAGUUUCCUAUUUUUAUUCACAUUCUGCUUCCUAAAUCAGUCUUCUAAAUGAUGCUUGCAAUUAGGCAUUGGUCAGGGGUGGAUGGCUCUUCACAGAGAGCAGCCAACCAGAGACCUUGUUUUGAUAUCAACAACUGCAGAGGAUGCUGCUGUGGAAGGAACUGUUGUCAUCAGAGAAACUUUGUCAUCAGAGAGACUUUUCGUGUAUGCAUGAGACUUUCAACAUCUGGAUACACAGCUUAAAGAUGGAAUUCAAGUAUGAAAGAAAACAGGCAAGGAGGCACUGAGGGAGAAGGACACAGACUUGAACGCUCUGUGGCUCGUUACUGGAAUAUUCUAAAAUUAUUGUUCACAUGCUAUUAUGACUUACAAAGCAGGAAUAGCUGAGGUGCACCAGGACACGGGUUUCACUUCUUUACUGUCUGUUCCCUUAACAUCACUGAGUGAUUUGUUGUUGAAGACAGCCUUGCAGUAUGGCCAGCUGUGAGGACAAAGCAGCUGUUUGUGUUAGGACAUAGCCCCCCGCCCCCCAAGCACAGGGUCUCUGGCCCCGUCUGACUCUGAAACCUUGGUGCUCACUCCUUGGCUACAGUGCUCAGUCCCAUGUAACCCACUGGCUCCUGCAUUAACCCAGAAAUACCUCGCUUGUAUCUGUGCACUUAGCUGGGAACUUACCCACUGUCAUGACCUGAAUAAAGUGUUUAUAAACAUG